GCACAGACCGGGGCGUUAGCGGUGCCUUGAACCUGCAAUCCGCUUCAGCAGGGGUCGUGCAGACAAAGAGGGUCGCAUAUGCGGCGAGGCAGCCACUCACAGGACGAUGAGAGACCGGUACUGCGCAACGGAGGACUGUGAACCAUGUCAGGCGGGGAACCGAGCAGCAUUAAGCAGAAACCAUCGUGUGCCGCAGAGCUGCCGAUCUUGAGUCC
Molecule: signal recognition particle RNA, 215 nt
Filed under: uncultured Agathobaculum sp.
Lineage: Bacteria; Bacillati; Bacillota; Clostridia; Eubacteriales; Butyricicoccaceae
Description: Bacterial large signal recognition particle RNA
Rfam family: Bacterial large signal recognition particle RNA
About the family: The signal recognition particle (SRP) is a universally conserved ribonucleoprotein involved in the co-translational targeting of proteins to membranes. Archaeal SRP consists of a 7S RNA and homologues of the eukaryotic SRP19 and SRP54 proteins.
Source: RNAcentral